RNAcentral lists this ribosomal RNA (458 nucleotides) under uncultured bacterium. Its description in RNAcentral is "partial 16S ribosomal RNA". It matches the Rfam family "Bacterial small subunit ribosomal RNA", at positions 338 to 795 of the family's 1533-position model. The record is from RNAcentral.
CCUACGGGUGGCAGCAGUGAGGAAUAUUGGUCAAUGGGCGAGAGCCUGAACCAGCCAAGUCGCGUGAGGGAGUACUGCCCUAUGGGUUGUAAACCUCUUUUGUCGGGGAGCAAAAGCCGGACGUGUCCGGCUGUGAGAGUACCCGAAGAAAAAGCAUCGGCUAACUCCGUGCCAGCAGCCGCGGUAAUACGGAGGAUGCGAGCGUUACACGGAUUUAGUGGGGUUAAAGAGGGCGCAGGCGGAUUAUUAAGGCAGCGGUAAAAUCGUGGGGCUCAACCCCAUCCAGCCGUUGAAACUGGGGAUCUAGAGUGUGCGAGAGGUAUGCGGAAUGCGUGGUGUAGCGGUGAAAUGCAUAGAUAUCACGCAGAACCCCGAUUGCGAAGGCAGCAUACCGGUGCACAACUGACGCUCAGGCACGAAAGCGUGGGUAUCGAACAGGAUUAGAUACCCGUGUAGUC